This is a non-coding RNA of Picea glauca (white spruce), 95 nucleotides long. The record is from Rfam. NCBI's taxonomy places the organism in Eukaryota, Viridiplantae, Streptophyta, Pinopsida, Pinales, Pinaceae.
AAAAGCAGCAAUGAUGAUAUUAAGCUCCCUCUUCUGAUCCCAGUGAGGAGAAUGCUGGCAUGAAUCGAACCUAAUUUACAGCCAACUCUGAGCUG